GCAAGUCGAGCGGAAACGAUGGGAGCUUGCUCCCAGGUGUCGAGCGGCGGACGGGUGAGUAAUACAUAUGUAUCUGCCUAUCCGCAGGGGAUAGCUCGGAGAAAUCCGGAUUAAUACCGUAUAUUCCUUACGAGGGAAAGGGGGCCUAUCCUUGGAAGCUCCCGCUGAUAGAUGAGCCUAUGUGGGAUUAGCUAGUUGGUAAGGUAAAGGCUUACCAGGGCGACGAUCUCUAGCUGGUCUGAGAGGAUGAUC
Molecule: ribosomal RNA, 252 nt
Filed under: uncultured bacterium
Lineage: Bacteria
Description: partial 16S ribosomal RNA
Rfam family: Bacterial small subunit ribosomal RNA
Source: RNAcentral